UGCUACAAGAAGCUUGGAUCUGAGGUGU
RNAcentral lists this non-coding RNA (28 nucleotides) under Mus musculus (house mouse). The record is from RNAcentral. Lineage: Eukaryota; Metazoa; Chordata; Mammalia; Rodentia; Muridae.